AGAACGAGAAAUUGGGCUGUGGUGUGCCUUGAUACUAUCCCACGUGUUGCAGGAUGGAACAGGUGUGGUGUCUCAAUGCUCAUCAUGGCGCAAUUUUCAUAUG
Non-coding RNA from Tribolium castaneum (red flour beetle), 103 nucleotides. The record is from RefSeq and is marked provisional. Lineage: Eukaryota; Metazoa; Arthropoda; Insecta; Coleoptera; Tenebrionidae.